This 2183-nucleotide long non-coding RNA is filed under the name Homo sapiens (human). RNAcentral's name for it is "HSALNT0319238". Lineage: Eukaryota; Metazoa; Chordata; Mammalia; Primates; Hominidae. The record is from RNAcentral.
AUCUGGCUAACAGCUUCUGUGGCUGUUGUAGCUUGCUUUCUUCUUCUUGCUACUUCUUAAAGCCAUUUCUAGAAGAGAACUACACCAUCAGACUGAAAGAGGUACUUGGCUGCUUCUGCAGCAGAAGGUAGGCCCACCCUCCAUCCAUAGUGAUCUCAGAAGGGUGGGAUCUAGGCCUCAGCCUUGUUUAUGGAUUGAGGUUUGCUCCUCCUUUUUCUCUAGCUAUUCCUAUGCUCUAGGUAGUGCUGUGGCAAAAGCCAAGGAUCUGUCUCAACGUCUGCAGUAACACAGGGCUGUCCUAAACACAGUUGCCUUUUUAGGAAAACUGAUUUGGAUGAGAACAACCAUCUUUAAUUUGUGCAACGUACUGUGUUUUAUCAUGGGAGAGCAUGGUGAAGGCACAGGUUUUUGUUCACUGCUGUUUCCACCCUUUAAGGACCGUGUGUGAAUGCCUGCUCUGUGAGCCCUCAGAAUCUACUGGCUGAAUGAGUGCGUGGAGGAAAUGUGCUCAGAGCUGCUGUGUGUCAUCCUGUGUUUGAAGUGCUCCUGCAGCUAUCAUUCAUCCAGUUAAGAAUUUGAAGAAGUGUGUGCACAAAGACGGAGUCUCACUCUGUUGCCCAGGCUGGAGUGCAGUGGCACAAUCUCGGCUCACUGCAACCUCUACCUCCUGGAUUCAAGCGGUUUUCCUGCCUCAGCCUCCAGAGUAACAGGGAUUACAGGCAUACUCCACCUUGCCCUGCUGAUUUUGUAUUUUUAGUAGAGACAAGAGUUUCACCAUGUUGGCCAGGCUGGUCUUGAACUCCUGACCUCAAGUGAUCCACUGCCUCAGCCUCCCAAAGUGCUGGGAUUAUAGGCGUGAGCCACUGCGCCUGGCCAAAUGCUCUACUUUUUAAUCAAUGUUUUCCAAAAUAGGGAUUUUUGCUAUGUGCUUUAGAAAUUAGAGAACAAACGGUGAUAAUAUAUGCUAAACUUAAAAUUAGUAUGCCUCCUUUUAUAGACAACAAGAACUUUGUCACUUCCCAGUUUGUCUUGUCAUUCAGGAGGCUCAGAGCUACGAUCUGUGCCCACUCGUGCUGCCUCUUCUUAACUUUGAUUUCCUGAAGCAGCGAUUUCAUCUCCGUUUCCCCUCAUCACCUGUUCUUUUAACUGUUUAAAAACAGCAUUACAUGUUGUUGCAAGUGGCCUCAAAUUCUUUUUGGUAGAAGGGAAAUUGUAAUCCAUGAGAAGAAAAAAAUUUUCCUAACUAUUCUCAGGUGUGUUUAAGGGCUGCAUUCCAUGAUGCUAUCAGUGCCUUCUUUCAGCUCACAGGAUAUCGGCCAUGUUAAUGAGUCUGAUGUUGCUAGUAUCACAGGCACCGGAAAAUAUGCACAUUAUGCUGGAGCAUUAGAAUGCAACAGAAAGAGCCCUGGGCUUGGAGUAUGCAGAACUGGUUCUUGUUACAACUCCUCUUACUAGUGGGCUCUGGAAGAAAACACAUUGAAUUCAUGAUCAUGGUUAACCUUUGGAGAGAGAGAGGAGACCAGGAUGAAGGAGCCAGUCGAAGAUCCUGUUCAAGUGUACACUGAGCCAGCAGGUUCACCAGAAAGCUAUUGAGCGUUUGCUGGAACACAUUAUGCAGGGUGAAUUUCUUCUGGAAUGUUGCCAAGGAUUUUUUAUGCUUCUGUGGCAGGCAUUUCUUGAACAUUGUCAUUUAGCCAAGCAAAGAAGAUUUUCUUAAAGGAUAGAAAAUGUUUAAAAAUUUUUGUUUGUUUGAAGAUAGGUUAAAUGGCUAUAUGAUCUCAGGAUAAGACAGAGAAAAUCACUUAUUUCUCUAAGUGAUCUGAUUAGGUUAGUGAUGUUUUGCCUUUAAACAGAUUCAUCAUUAUUCCUAAAGUAUUGCUGUAUUAAUACUGUCUUCUAGAAAGUAUCCACCAGUGCCUACUUUUCUUCGAUAUCAUUAGCUGUUUUUCGAAACUGAAUUUGCUCUUCAGAGAUUUCUCAUAUGUUUGCGUAUAAGGAACUACUGGUAAUAGCCAAGAAAAUUUGGAGGUGCAGAGAACAUGCUGAAACAGAAUUUUUCACUUUCAAUUCUAGAACUAUGCCAUAAAAAAAAAGGAAAAUGUAAAAAUGUCUUUAUAUUAGAGCAGAUAUUUUAAAAGUAUUGCAAAUUCAAUGAUAAAUUCUAAGGUUAAAAUUGGACACAU